GACGAACUUUGGCGGCGUGCCUAAUACAUGCAAGUCGAGCGAGCGGAACUAACAGAUUUACUUCGGUAAUGACGUUAGGAAAGCGAGCGGCGGAUGGGUGAGUAACACGUGGGGAACCUGCCCCAUAGUCUGGGAUACCACUUGGAAACAGGUGCUAAUACCGGAUAAGAAAGCAGAUCGCAUGAUCAGCUUUUAAAAGGCGGCGUAAGCUGUCGCUAUGGGAUGGCCCCGCGGUGCAUUAGCUAGUUGGUAAGGUAAAGGCUUACCAAGGCGAUGAUGCAUAGCCGAGUUGAGAGACUGAUCGGCCACAUUGGGACUGAGACACGGCCCAAACUCCUACGGGAGGCAGCAGUAGGGAAUCUUCCACAAUGGACGCAAGUCUGAUGGAGCAACGCCGCGUGAGUGAAGAAGGUUUUCGGAUCGUAAAGCUCUGUUGUUGGUGAAGAAGGAUAGAGGUAGUAACUGGCCUUUAUUUGACGGUAAUCAACCAGAAAGUCACGGCUAACUACGUGCCAGCAGCCGCGGUAAUACGUAGGUGGCAAGCGUUGUCCAGAUUUAUUGGGCGUAAAGCGAGCGCAGGCGGAAGAAUAAGUCUGAUGUGAAAGCCCUCGGCUUAACCGAGGAACUGCAUCGGAAACUGUUUUUCUUGAGUGCAGAAGAGGAGAGUGGAACUCCAUGUGUAGCGGUGGAAUGCGUAGAUAUAUGGAAGAACACCAGUGGCGAAGGCGGCUCUCUGGUCUGCAACUGACGCUGAGGCUCGAAAGCAUGGGUAGCGAACAGGAUUAGAUACCCUGGUAGUCCAUGCCGUAAACGAUGAGUGCUAAGUGCUGGGAGGUUUCCGCCUCUCAGUGCUGCAGCUAACGCAUUAAGCACUCCGCCUGGGGAGUACGACCGCAAGGUUGAAACUCAAAGGAAUUGACGGGGGCCCGCACAAGCGGUGGAGCAUGUGGUUUAAUUCGAAGCAACGCGAAGAACCUUACCAGGUCUUGACAUCUAGUGCCAUUUGUAGAGAUACAAAGUUCCCUUCGGGGACGCUAAGACAGGUGGUGCAUGGCUGUCGUCAGCUCGUGUCGUGAGAUGUUGGGUUAAGUCCCGCAACGAGCGCAACCCUUGUUAUUAGUUGCCAGCAUUAAGUUGGGCACUCUAAUGAGACUGCCGGUGACAAACCGGAGGAAGGUGGGGAUGACGUCAAGUCAUCAUGCCCCUUAUGACCUGGGCUACACACGUGCUACAAUGGGCAGUACAACGAGAAGCGAGCCUGCGAAGGCAAGCGAAUCUCUGAAAGCUGUUCUCAGUUCGGACUGCAGUCUGCAACUCGACUGCACGAAGCUGGAAUCGCUAGUAAUCGCGGAUCAGCACGCCGCGGUGAAUACGUUCCCGGGCCU
RNAcentral lists this ribosomal RNA (1385 nucleotides) under uncultured bacterium. RNAcentral describes it as "bacterial SSU rRNA". It matches the Rfam family "Bacterial small subunit ribosomal RNA", at positions 28 to 1381 of the family's 1533-position model. The record is from RNAcentral.